RNAcentral lists this long non-coding RNA (947 nucleotides) under Pan paniscus (pygmy chimpanzee). RNAcentral describes it as "lncRNA (ENSPPAG00000044222.1)". The record is from RNAcentral. Lineage: Eukaryota; Metazoa; Chordata; Mammalia; Primates; Hominidae.
CCCAAGUGCUUCAAUUUGAUUAAAAACUUUUCUAUCAAGUCAUUCUAUACUGAAUCUAAACUACUCCAUUAGCUUUAAAGGAAUGUGGAACUGAAGCAAAGAGGUGUCCCCACUUCCAUUCUCCAAAAUGAAAUUGAUCAUCUUAGGAAACUGUAUCAAACACUAAAGAAAUUGUCAACCUUCAACAAUCUGUGUUGGAGCUUUGGGAAAGGCCUGUUUCCUGGCACUAAAAGUAGCCAGUCUUGGCGUGAACAGCCCCUGACAAUUCCCAGCAUAUGGUAAGAGAAGACGCUUCUGCCCACCCAUCAGGUGAGGACUCUGACACAUCCAGAUUUUGUAAGUUGCAUAGAAUGAAUUUCACAGGACGCAUCCAAUUCAUUGACUCUUACAAGUUUGUAUCAACACCUACAGCUCUGACCUCUGGGAAUGAAGAAGAUACUUAACAAUAGUUUUGAUGGACUAGAAAAUCAACAGAGAUAAUAUCCAUAUUCAUAUUGGUAGCCCCAUUGUAUUUAGAUAGUGUGAGCCAGCAGUGUUCACUUCUACCCAAUUCAGGGACUUCCUCUAGCAAGGUAUUGCAGUUUGGAAGUGGGAACAGAAGAGACUGUGCAGUCUUCACAGGAGAACAUUGUCAUGACAAAGAGGACAAACAAGUUCAAGGCAAAAAACUAAACCAUAGCCUUGGGAUUCAAGGAAAAAGUCAUUAAGCACAGAGGUAAGCGAAGGACUCUCACCCAAAGGCUCUCUCUGCCCAGUCCAGUUGGGAUGGAAGAUUUCAUUCUUCACAUUCAUCAUUGACUGUGUACAUUCAUCAUGUGGGUCUCAGGUGUUGGCCUCCUACAACUCCUGAUAUCUGUCAAUUUAUUUCUUAUCUUAGGCUUUCUAACAAAAUUUAAGUUUACACUUUCUUUAGUUCAACUAGUACACUAGGAUAUAACAAGAGUGCC